GAUGGUAUGAAUUUCUAAACAGGCUAUCAGUCAGACAUACGUUUGUCUCUUUGUGUGAAACGAGGCGUGUACCGUCAUUGUAAAAGUAGUUGGUAUAUCCU
This 101-nucleotide non-coding RNA is filed under the name uncultured Nitzschia. Lineage: Eukaryota; Bacillariophyta; Bacillariophyceae; Bacillariales; Bacillariaceae. The record is from RNAcentral.